Molecule: long non-coding RNA, 317 nt
Organism: Phyllopteryx taeniolatus (common seadragon)
Lineage: Eukaryota; Metazoa; Chordata; Actinopteri; Syngnathiformes; Syngnathidae
Exons: 3
Source: RefSeq, a predicted model, not a curated record
CAUACAUCGAACUUGUUUGUUUUGCAGUUGUUCAAGGGCCCUCAAAACUAUUUUGAUGCCAUCUACACUGCACCCAACUCUGCCGCAUGUGGAGUCACUCUGAGCAUCGGCAUCGAGUAUCUACUCAUGGCCAGCCUGCAGCCCGACGGCUCGCUGUACAUCAGCUUGUGUGACUCCUUUCAGCCGUGGGACGCUUUGAGCGUCACGCAAAAGAAACUGUUGAACCACUACGGAAAGGGCUGCAAUUGCAAGAUCACACCCUGCUUCACCCGCCCGUGCGUCCCCAGCAGCAAGGCCGAGUGCUUGUGGACCGACUU